Molecule: ribosomal RNA, 604 nt
Filed under: Salmonella enterica
Lineage: Bacteria; Pseudomonadati; Pseudomonadota; Gammaproteobacteria; Enterobacterales; Enterobacteriaceae
Description: partial 23S ribosomal RNA
Rfam family: Bacterial large subunit ribosomal RNA
Source: RNAcentral
GGUUAAGCGACUAAGCGUACACGGUGGAUGCCCUGGCAGUCAGAGGCGAUGAAGGGCGUGCUAAUCUGCGAUAAGCGCCGGUAAGGUGAUAUGAACCGUUAUAACCGGCGAUACCCGAAUGGGGAAACCCAGUGUGACUCGUCACACUAUCAUUAACUGAAUCCAUAGGUUAAUGAGGCGAACCGGGGGAACUGAAACAUCUAAGUACCCCGAGGAAAAGAAAUCAACCGAGAUUCCCCCAGUAGCGGCGAGCGAACGGGGAGGCGCCCAGAGCCUGAAUCAGCAUGUGUGUUAGUGGAAGCGUCUGGAAAGGCGCGCGAUACAGGGUGACAGCCCCGUACACAAAAGCGCAUGUGCUGUGAGCUCGAUGAGUAGGGCGGGACACGUGGUAUCCUGUCUGAAUAUGGGGGGACCAUCCUCCAAGGCUAAAUACUCCUGACUGACCGAUAGUGAACCAGUACCGUGAGGGAAAGGCGAAAAGAACCCCGGCGAGGGGAGUGAAAAAGAACCUGAAACCGUGUACGUACAAGCAGUGGGAGCACAGGUUUACCUGUGUGACUGCGUACCUUUUGUAUAAUGGGUCAGCGACUUAUAUUCUGUAGCA